GCACCGCUGGAUAGCUCAGUCGGAAAGAGCAUGGUGCUGAUAACACCAAGGUCACAGGUUCAAUCUUCAUAUGGGACAGCUGCA
Non-coding RNA from Podarcis lilfordi (Lilford's wall lizard), 84 nucleotides. Lineage: Eukaryota; Metazoa; Chordata; Lepidosauria; Squamata; Lacertidae. The record is from the annotation of a GenBank genome assembly.